This 301-nucleotide ribosomal RNA is filed under the name uncultured bacterium. RNAcentral describes it as "partial 16S ribosomal RNA". It matches the Rfam family "Bacterial small subunit ribosomal RNA", at positions 509 to 807 of the family's 1533-position model. The record is from RNAcentral.
CAGCAGCCGCGGGAAUACGGAGGGUGCAAGCGUUAAUCGGAAUUACUGGGCGUAAAGCGCACGCAGGCGGUCUGUCAAGUCAGAUGUGAAAUCCCCGGGCUUAAUCUGGGAACUGCAUUUGAAACUGGCAGGCUAGAGUCUUGUAGAGGGGGGUAGAAUUCCAGGUGUAGCGGUGGAAUGCGUAGAGAUCUGGAGGAAUACCGGUGGCGAAGGCGGCCCCCUGGACAAAGACUGACGCUCAGGUGCGAAAGCGUGGGGAGCAAGCAGGAUUAGAUACCCCAGUAGUCCCUGUCUCUUAUAC